UACAGAGGUCCCGAGCGUUGUUCGGAUUCAUUGGGCGUAAAGGGUGCGUAGGCGGCGGGGCAAGUCUGAUGGGAAAUCCCGGGGCUCAACCCCGGAACUGCAUUGGAUACUGCCUUGCUCGAGUACUGGAGAGGGAACUGGAAUUUACGGUGUAGCAGUGAAAUGCGUAGAGAUCGUAAGGAAGGCCAGUGGCGAAGGCGAGUUCCUGGACAGUUACUGACGCUGAGGCACGAAGGCCAGGGGAGCAAACGGG
This 253-nucleotide ribosomal RNA is filed under the name uncultured bacterium. Its description in RNAcentral is "partial 16S ribosomal RNA". It matches the Rfam family "Bacterial small subunit ribosomal RNA", at positions 524 to 776 of the family's 1533-position model. The record is from RNAcentral.